Molecule: ribosomal RNA, 855 nt
Filed under: Agaricus bernardi
Lineage: Eukaryota; Fungi; Basidiomycota; Agaricomycetes; Agaricales; Agaricaceae
Description: eukaryotic LSU rRNA
Rfam family: Eukaryotic large subunit ribosomal RNA
Source: RNAcentral
AGAAAACAACUAACAAGGUCCCCUAGUAACUGCGAGUGAAGCGGGAAAAGCUCAAAUUUAAAAUCUGGCAGUCUUUGGCUGUCCGAGUUGUAAUCUAGAGAAGUAAUGCCCGUGCUGGACCGUGUAUAAGUCUCCUGGGAUGGAGCGUCAUAGAGGGUGAGAAUCCCGUCUUUGACACGGACUACCAGUGCAUUGUGGUAUGCUCUCAAAGAGUCGAGUUGUUUGGGAAUGCAGCUCAAAAUGGGUGGUAAAUUCCAUCUAAAGCUAAAUAUUGGCGAGAGACCGAUAGCGAACAAGUACCGUGAGGGAAAGAUGAAAAGAACUUUGGAAAGAGAGUUAAACAGUACGUGAAAUUGCUGAAAGGGAAACGCUUGAAGUCAGUCGCGUUGGCCAGGGAUCAGCCUUGCUUUUGCAUGGUGUACUUUCUGGUUGACGGGUCAGCAUCAAUUUUGACCGCUGGAAAAGGGCUGGGGAAUGUGGCAGCUUCGGCUGUGUUAUAGCCCCUGGUCGCAUACAGCGGUUGGGAUUGAGGAACUCAGCACGCCGCAAGGCCGGGUUUCGACCACGUUCGUGCUUAGGAUGCUGGCAUAAUGGCUUUAAGCGACCCGUCUUGAAACACGGACCAAGGAGUCUAACAUGCCUGCGAGUAUUUGGGUGGAAAACCCGAGUGCACAAUGAAAGUGAAAGUUGAGAUCCCUGUCGUGGGGAGCAUCGACGCCCGGACCAGAACUUUUGGGACGGAUCCGCGGUGGAGCAUGUAUGUUGGGACCCGAAAGAUGUGAACUAUGCCUGAAUAGGGUGAAGCCAGAGGAAACUCUGGUGGAGGCUCGUAGCGAUUUGACGUGCAAAUCGAUC